RNAcentral lists this transfer RNA (84 nucleotides) under Bactris gastoniana. RNAcentral's name for it is "tRNA-Tyr". The record is from RNAcentral. Lineage: Eukaryota; Viridiplantae; Streptophyta; Magnoliopsida; Arecales; Arecaceae.
UUGGGCCGAGCUGGAUUUGAACCAGCGUAGACAUAUCGUCAACGAAUUUACAGUCCGUCCCCAUUAACCGCUCGGGCAUCGACC